AUGCUCAGGCGUGGGCGCGCAGAGACGCCGAUUUUCGACCUCGUGUUUGCGUCGUGGUCUCGCCGCGCUGGGGCUACCGCAAUUGCCAUGCCGUUCCUGGUACAGCUGGCGCUCUGGGGUGUGCCCGCGAAUGAGUGGACGAGGCAAACGGCGGAGGUGCUUCUCCACGGCUUGGGCAUUGUGGUUAAGGUGGCGUCCUCGACGGCGACCAGGAAUGAUAUGGAAAGCUUCAAGGUUUGGUUGAGGACGGAUGAUCCUGCCCGCAUCCCGUCCAAGCGCAUCCUAGUCGUCGAGGAGCAGGGCAGCUGA
This 309-nucleotide ribosomal RNA is filed under the name Triticum aestivum (bread wheat). RNAcentral describes it as "partial small subunit ribosomal RNA". Lineage: Eukaryota; Viridiplantae; Streptophyta; Magnoliopsida; Poales; Poaceae. The record is from RNAcentral.